This is a long non-coding RNA of Hemicordylus capensis (graceful crag lizard), 589 nucleotides long. RefSeq lists it as uncharacterized. Lineage: Eukaryota; Metazoa; Chordata; Lepidosauria; Squamata; Cordylidae. The transcript is spliced from 2 exons. The record is from RefSeq and is a predicted model, not a curated record.
UCCAGGUCAGGAGGGAGACCUUCUGCUGGUCUUUUGAGUGUCAGUUUGUGGUUACAUUACCAUGGCUCUGUGCAGAAGUUGACACUGGACGUCUUGAGGAGCAGUAGGUUGAAUGCACAGAGCCACAGAGUCAGAAUGAGAUGUCUUUCAGCGUUGGUUUUUUUUUUUGGUGUGAUCAGCUCAGAUGAUUCUUCAGAGAGUGCAAUGGCCAGCCAUUUGGUGUGACCAUUGGACUUUACUUGUCAUGGUUAAGAUUUAUGUAGCUUAAGUUUGAGAAUUUCAGUUCCAAUGAGGAUAAGUCCAAUUUUAAGAUUUGUGAACCGCCUAGAACCAUCUGGGUGAGGCGGUAUAAAAAUCGAACCAACCAACCCACUCUACAUCUCUUUCCAUAUAUCUUCCAAAAGAGUGACUUCCAGCACACAUUGCAGCAGCUGCCAGAAAGCCUACUGGACAAUAAGUGUUUUAUUACCAACAUGCUCCAAAUUUAUAAAAUGAAGAGUGUCAUUAAAAGCCAGAGCUUUCCCUAUAAGAGCUUUAAACAUAUCUGUUUAGUGAACACUAGAAUGGAAAUAAAUUAAAAGCAAAUCUG